RNAcentral lists this ribosomal RNA (253 nucleotides) under uncultured bacterium. RNAcentral's name for it is "partial 16S ribosomal RNA". It matches the Rfam family "Bacterial small subunit ribosomal RNA", at positions 524 to 776 of the family's 1533-position model. The record is from RNAcentral.
UACGUAGGGGGCAAGCGUUGUCCGGAAUUAUUGGGCGUAAAGAGCUCGUAGGCGGUUUGUCACGUCGGAUGUGAAAGCCCGGGGCUUAACCCCGGGUCUGCAUUCGAUACGGGCAGACUAGAGUGUGGUAGGGGAGAUCGGAAUUCCUGGUGUAGCGGUGAAAUGCGCAGAUAUCAGGAGGAACACCGGUGGCGAAGGCGGAUCUCUGGGCCAUUACUGACGCUGAGGAGCGAAAGCGUGGGGAGCGAACAGG